RNAcentral lists this long non-coding RNA (815 nucleotides) under Olea europaea subsp. europaea. The record is from RNAcentral. Lineage: Eukaryota; Viridiplantae; Streptophyta; Magnoliopsida; Lamiales; Oleaceae.
UUGGCACGCAUGUGAAAAAAAACUUUUCAGGAUGCAAUUGGUAAAUUUAGGCGACAGUCCCCCGUACAUACCAAACACAAACUAAAUGUCUUCAAAUCAAACAUAGUAAACGUAAGCAUAAACAAUAGCACGAAAAAUUUAAACGUCCCACAGACGUGUAUGCAACCCAUACAAACAUAGUUAUGACUGCGGUUGUGUUUUCCUAUAUUCUUGAUAGCUUUACUCCACCCAAGCAAACUUGUCGUUAGCGUUGUCUUGCAUGUCCAGUAUAUCUCUAUUGGCCUUCUACGAAAGGAAUUUGCACGUGUAGAAGUAUAGAUCCAUUUGCUUUUGGAGUCGACCCAUUGCCAGUAACUCGCUUAUGCAUGUCUUCGAGUUGGACACAAAAGCUCCGAUGAAGUUGUCAAUUUUUAUAGCAAUCUUCUCAUUGGCCGAGGUAACACGAUCCACAGAGUAGGACACGUAUCGAGAUGAAAACUUCUUCUUCUCCUUCGUUCACUUUCGGCCCGCCUUUCGUUUGUCCCCACUGUGCGGGCCAGAUUUAUCCAUGGUUGCGAAAGACAGUUCGGGUACAUCAUCUUCGUCGCUUGAGCCGCAGCUCUCUACAUAGACUGGGAUCUCGUCACGGUGGUCUUCGUAUCCACUGUCUUCGAACAUCGCGAAACCAGUGUGGCAUGCUUGGGUGUGACUGCGUACUUAUUGCAGUAAAAACAUCCCUAAAAAAAUCCUUGCAUUAGUACACCUCUUGGCAAUCCUUGUCUUUAUACUCUUUGUACUCCUUCCUCUCCUGCAGCAAUACAAACCAAAAGGGGUUC